GAUGAAGAACGCAGCGAAAUGCGAUACGUAAUGUGAAUUGCAAAUUCAGUGAAUCAUCGAGUCUUUGAACGCACAUUGCGCCCCCUGGUAUUCCGGGGGGCAUGCCUGUCCGAGCGUCAUUGCUGCCCUCAAGCACGGCUUGUGUGUUGGGCCCCGUCCUCCGAUCCCGGGGGACGGGCCCGAAAGGCAGCGGCGGCACCGCGUCCGGUCCUCGAGCGUAUGGGGCUUUGUCACCCGCUCUGUAGGCCCGGCCGGCGCUUGCCGAGCAACCCAAAUUUUUAUCCAGGUUGACCUCGGAUCAGGUAGGGAUACCCGCUGAACUUAAGCAUAUCAAUAAGCGGAGGA
Molecule: unclassified non-coding RNA, 345 nt
Filed under: soil metagenome
Description: partial contains 5.8S ribosomal RNA, internal transcribed spacer 2, and large subunit ribosomal RNA
Rfam family: 5.8S ribosomal RNA (bases 1-119)
Source: RNAcentral